This 408-nucleotide ribosomal RNA is filed under the name uncultured bacterium. RNAcentral's name for it is "partial 16S ribosomal RNA". It matches the Rfam family "Bacterial small subunit ribosomal RNA", at positions 28 to 526 of the family's 1533-position model. The record is from RNAcentral.
GACGAACGCUGGCGGCGUGCUUAACACAUGCAAGUCGAACGAAGUGGCGAACGGGUGAGUAAUACGUGAGUAACCUGCCCUCCGUUUGGGGAUAAGCCUUGGAAACGGGGUCUAAUACCGAAUACAGGGGGAUGGGCUAGCGGCCUAUCAGCUUGUGGGGGGGGUGAUGGCCUACCAAGGCGGUGCCGGGUAGCCGGCCUGGGAGGGUGACCGCGCACAUGGGGACUGAGAUACGGCCCAGACUCCUACGGGGGGCAGCAGGUGGGGAUAUUGUACAAUGGGCGAAAGCCUGAUGCAGCGACGCCGGGUGGGUGAUGAAGGCUUUCGGGUUGUAAACCUCUUUCAGCUAUGACGCGGUAGUGGCAGAAGAAGCACCGGCUAACUACGUGCCAGCAGCCGCGGUAAUAC